RNAcentral lists this non-coding RNA (210 nucleotides) under Gallus gallus (chicken). RNAcentral describes it as "Eukaryotic large subunit ribosomal RNA". It matches the Rfam family "Eukaryotic large subunit ribosomal RNA", at positions 2787 to 2997 of the family's 3401-position model. Lineage: Eukaryota; Metazoa; Chordata; Aves; Galliformes; Phasianidae. The record is from Rfam by way of RNAcentral.
GUGGAGCAGAGGAGACCUGUGAAAAAGUUACCACAGGGAUAACUGGCUUGUGGCGACCAAGCGUUCAUGGUGACGUUGCUUUUUGAUCCUUCGAUGUCGGCUCUUCCUAUCAUUGUGAAGCAGAAUUCACCAAGCGUUGGAUUGUUCACCUACUAAUAAGGAACAUGAGCUGGGUUUAGACCGUCGUGAGACAGGUUAGUUUUACCCUAC